RNAcentral lists this ribosomal RNA (492 nucleotides) under uncultured bacterium. RNAcentral describes it as "partial 16S ribosomal RNA". It matches the Rfam family "Bacterial small subunit ribosomal RNA", at positions 29 to 507 of the family's 1533-position model. The record is from RNAcentral.
AGUGAACGCUGGCGGUAGGCCUAACACAUGCAAGUCGAACGGCAGCACAGUAAGAGCUUGCUCUUACGGGUGGCGAGUGGCGUACGGGUGAGGAAAACAACGGAACCUAUUUUUUGGUGGGGGUUAAGGAAGGGAAACUUACUCUAAUACCGCAUCCGCCCUAGGGUUGAAAGCGGUGGAACUUUGCACCUUGUGGGAUUGAACGAGCGGCUGUCGGAUUGGUUAGUUGGCGGGUUAAAGGCCAACCAAGUGGAGGAUCCGUAGCUGGUGUGAGAGGAUGAUCAGCCACCCUGGAACUGAGACACGGUCCAGACUCCUACGGGAGGCAGCAGUGGGGAAUAUUGGACAAUGGGCGCAAGCCUGAUCCAGCCAUACCGCGUGGGUGAAGAAGGCCUUCGGGUUGUAAAGCCCUUUUGUUGGGAAAGAAAAGCAGCAGGUUAAUACCCCGCUGUUCUGACGGUACCCAAAGAAUAAGCACCGGCUAACUUCGUG